GACGAACCGUGCGAACGUUGUUCGGAAUCACUGGGCUUAAAGGGCGCGUAGGCGGGCUGUCAAGUCUGGGGUGAAAUGCUGCGGCUCAACCGUAGAACUGCCUUAGAUACUGACGGCCUCGAGGAAGGUAGGGGCAUGCGGAACUGUAGGUGGAGCGGUGAAAUGCGUUGAUAUCUACAGGAACUCCGGUGGCGAAAGCGGCGUGCUGGACCCUUUCUGACGCUGAGGCGCGAAAGCUAGGGGAGCAAACGGG
This 253-nucleotide ribosomal RNA is filed under the name uncultured bacterium. RNAcentral's name for it is "partial 16S ribosomal RNA". It matches the Rfam family "Bacterial small subunit ribosomal RNA", at positions 524 to 776 of the family's 1533-position model. The record is from RNAcentral.